GUAAAUAUGACCAAAUUUUCAGAGAGGCCCAAGGUUAGCUAAGCUUAGUUCACUUUUCCAUUAGCUCAAGAGAGACUAUGGCUACCAAAGUGGAUUGCAUGUCUUUUUGUGGUUCUGAGAUUCUUGAGUGUUCCUUGGUUUUGUAUUAUUUACAGUUAAAGUUUAAGAUUAAAAUUCUUUUACUUGGCCCUCAAAAGAGUAACCAUAAUUAAUCUUAUAGCAUUAAAUUCAUUGGCAAUCUGCUUUGGAGGGAAUAAACUCAUGUUCUGCAAAAGGGCUUGGAUAUACAGAAUUUCAAUGCUUCAAAUGAUGUAAUUGUCUAUAAUAUUUAGCCUGCCAUUUUUAGUUUGGUAUUCGUAUAAUAUGAGAUUUCGAAGAAAAAGCUAAAGAGAGGCUAAUUUGCUUGGUAGUGCUUCUGUUCUUUUGUUCUUUUAGAAUCUAAAAUUAACCAACAUCUGCAGUGUCAACAAGGACUCCAUAUGGCAUUCAAGUUUGUACUUUUCCUAAAUAAUGCAUUUGAGGCAAUGUAAUCUGAGAGGAAUUCUGAGGUAAUAAUGAGCAGAAUGUGUUAUAUUGUAUAGCACUUUAUAGUUUCAAAGUUAUUUAACAACUAGGACCUUAUUUGAUCCUCACAACAACAUUAAGAGGCAAGGAGGUGUAGGGUAUUUAUUAUUCCUGUUGAAGAGAUGAGAAGGCAGAGAUCCAAAGUAUUGAAGAGACAUGACCAUAGUCACAAACCUGGUAAAUAGCAGGGUGAAAAUAAAAUCCAGGUUAUCUGAUUCCUAAUUCAAUGCCCUUUCUACCAUAUUACUAGAAUCAAGUUAUUGACAACCCAUGUUAUGAUAGCAUGCUUUGAAAAUAAUAGAUUCCACAAACAACUCUGCAGGUAAAUAAAAAGAACUCAAUCAUGCAUGUUUGAUUUUUGAAAGUUUAAUGGAUUUCACUUGCUCAAUUAAGUUAGCAGAUGAUUUCUAUAGGAGUUCAUCUAUAGUUACACUUGUGAUUUUCUAUUUUACCUCCAAAAGUUUUCACUCAAAUCCUUUUUCUCCUUGUGAAGUUGUACCUCAUAAAUCGUUAUUAGUCAUAUCUUAAAAAUUCAAAAACUUUCCUGUAAGAGAGGUUACAACUAAGUGUUUUCCUCACAGUAAUAAAUAUAAUUUAUGUCCAGCUGAGUUUUGAAACUUUUUGUUUCAAUUCAAACUUCUGUAAAUUUCUGUAUCACAGCAAUCAGAAUUUCUGGGACAAAAAGAAAGUUGUUUGAAGCUAAAGAACAUUCUAGAAACAUAACUUGUGACUGGCACACAAAUGUAAAUUUAGAAGGACUCAUUUUUUAAGCAUAAAUAAUGUUACUGCCAAUACAUACCUGACAGAAAUUUCUAGCUAUGUAAUAGUACCAUUUCUACUUUUAAAUGCAGUGUAAUUCAAUUGCUUCCAUUUCUUGAAAGUUUGAGGCUUAAAAAUUAUGAAUGCUGGCAUUCUGGAAGAGGAGCACUGUGAGUUCGUAACAUCGAAAAGGUGCUGGCGUUCUCAGACAUUGACAGGCAGAUAUAUUUCCAACAAGUGGAAACACAGGACUGCACUGGGAGAAGGAGCAGACAACAAGAAUUUUCAUCAUGAUUUGGCUUGGUCUAUGCUGGUUCUGCAGAGACUUCACAAAGUGCAUCUUUAGGAAGCAUCUUCUACCAAGUGGAAAGCUGGCAAGAGGCAGCAGUAGAGGCUGCUGACACCAAAGCAACAGAGCUUACUUAAAACUUAGAAAAAAAAUUGUUUCCAUUAGUUGUUUGGAUAUGUCUCAAAGAACCACAAACAGAAAAGCAAUAUUUAAAGUUGCUACUGUCCAAACAUUCUUGCAACUCUAAUAUCCUACCUACUCAGUGUCUGAGAUUUGUGGAAAUACACUCCACAUUUUUGAAAAGGAGAUCAUUUAACCUAAGUAGAAUGUUGUCUCUCCAUACACGAGCAUACCUGGACAUGGGAGUGGUAAAAAAGAGAGAAAGAAAGUGACAAAGAGAACAAUAUGGAAUGUACAAGGGAGUCAGAGGAAUUGAGGGGAGGUGGAGAAUUUGGGGAGGAAAGCCUUGAGAGAGGAGGUUUAAAUCAUUUGAAAAGGCAAUAAUUCUGUCUGGCAAGUCCUGGGAAUCUGUGAGGAGGGAGCAAAGGGUGACAGAAGAGAGUGGCUGUGGCGGUAGCAUUCAGAGGGACUCUGGUUGCAGAGAGAUGGCAGGUGCAGAGGCGGGGCAUGAGGAAGUACCCGAGCCACCAUGAGAACCUCCACUGUGGCUGUUUGCUCUUCACUUAUUUGGUUAGGUCUAGUUUUGGCCCCCCUUCCCACCAUACCUCUGCCCCCGACUGCAAGAAAAAAUUGUAUUCAGUAGGCUCAACUUUGUUUAACUUAGUUUUAAUUGUCCACCAAGUGAUUUGUGGAGAUGAGGACUGGUAGUAACUUAGCAAUGACUUCAGAAUCCAGAAUCAGAAUUGGAGUGAUAGAACUUUGUUCCCAGUCAACCCACUCACAACAACAGACCUCUCUGUUCUACAGUAAAGUAAUGUGGUCCCUUGACUAUUCUGCUGCUAAUGAAUGGAUUGGACAGAAAAGCAAUGGAAGGGCCGAUACAACUCUCACAACAGUCCAACUCUUUUCUGCCAGAUUGGCUUAAAAAAAAAGGCAGCUGAUCAUGGCAAAUCAAGUUAGCCAAUACCUGUAUUGUCUGCCUGAAUUAUAAAGCAUAACAGUAC
RNAcentral lists this long non-coding RNA (2736 nucleotides) under Homo sapiens (human). Its description in RNAcentral is "HSALNT0302281". The record is from RNAcentral. Lineage: Eukaryota; Metazoa; Chordata; Mammalia; Primates; Hominidae.